ACUAGUCCCAUUCAAUACAAUAGCCGAAGCCCAAAGUAACAAUAAAAAGUCCCUGUUCAAGGGCAGUUGCUAUUGGGGUUACCACUAACGCAUACUUCAUAACUUCAUAACAUGAAUAAGUAAAGUGGCCUAUAUGCUAACAAUGAUGGUUACACGUGGCCACGCACAUUUCAAUCCCAUGCA
Long non-coding RNA from Juglans microcarpa x Juglans regia, 183 nucleotides. RefSeq lists it as uncharacterized. The transcript is spliced from 2 exons. The record is from RefSeq and is a predicted model, not a curated record. Lineage: Eukaryota; Viridiplantae; Streptophyta; Magnoliopsida; Fagales; Juglandaceae.